Molecule: unclassified non-coding RNA, 148 nt
Organism: Papio anubis (olive baboon)
Lineage: Eukaryota; Metazoa; Chordata; Mammalia; Primates; Cercopithecidae
Rfam family: Metazoan signal recognition particle RNA
About the family: The signal recognition particle (SRP) is a universally conserved ribonucleoprotein. It is involved in the co-translational targeting of proteins to membranes.
Source: Ensembl
GCCGGGCAUGGUGGUGCGCGUCUGUAGUCCCAGCUACUCGGGAGGCCGAGGCAGGAGAAUUGCUUGAACCCAGGAGGUGGAGGUUGCAGUGAGCCGAGAUCGUGCCACUGCACUCCAGCCUGGGUGACAGAGCGAGACUCUGCCUCAA